AUGCAAGUCGAACGGCAGCACGGACUUCGGUCUGGUGGCGAGUGGCGAACGGGUGAGUAACAUAUCGGAACGUAUCCAAUAAUGGGGGAUAACUAAUCGAAAGGUUGGCUAAUACCGCAUACGCCCUACGGGGGAAAGCAGGGGAUCUUCGGACCUUGCGUUAAUGGAGCGGCCGAUAUCUGAUUAGCUAGUUGGUGGGGUAAAGGCCCACCAAGGCGACGAUCAGUAGCUGGUCUGAGAGGACGACCAGCCACACUGGAACUGAGACACGGUCCAGACUCCUACGGGAGGCAGCAGUGGGGAAUUUUGGACAAUGGGCGCAAGCCUGAUCCAGCCAUUCCGCGUGAGUGAAGAAGGCCUUCGGGUUGUAAAGCUCUUUCGCAAGGGAAGAAACGUUACCGGUGAAUAUCCGGUGAUAAUGACGGUACCUUGAUAAGAAGCACCGGCUAACUACGUGCCAGCAGCCGCGGUAAUACGUAGGGUGCGAGCGUUAAUCGGAAUUACUGGGCGUAAAGCGUGCGCAGGCGGUUUUGUAAGUCAGAUGUGAAAUCCCCGAGCUCAACUUGGGAACUGCGUUUGAAACUACAAGACUAGAAUAGGUCAGAGGGGGGUAGAAUUCCACGUGUAGCAGUGAAAUGCGUAGAGAUGUGGAGGAAUAUCAAUGGCGAAGGCAGCCCCCUGGGAUCAUAUUGACGCUCAUGCACGAAUGCGUGGUGAGCAAACAGGAUUAGAUAUCCC
This 738-nucleotide ribosomal RNA is filed under the name uncultured beta proteobacterium. Its description in RNAcentral is "bacterial SSU rRNA". It matches the Rfam family "Bacterial small subunit ribosomal RNA", at positions 55 to 788 of the family's 1533-position model. The record is from RNAcentral. Lineage: Bacteria; Pseudomonadati; Pseudomonadota; Betaproteobacteria.